AGGGCUUAAUUAGGCAUUUGGCCAAUUAAAACAGUCCCAGCAUUGACCACAAUAUCAUUCACAUAAUGUAAAACUUCCAUUAACCCCAAGUCAAUAUUUUGCUAGUGCUUAGUUGUCACUUUCAUAAGGGAAAAUUUUGUUUUAUAUAUUUUCCAAUAAUCAAUAACUAAAAAUAUUUGCAACAAAUGUGAAAUUAAUUUGCUGUGGAGGAAGGGAGUGGAGAGCAAUAAUGAAAGAAAUAAAAUCUCUCUAAGGGUUGUAUCAAACUACCAAUAUACAUAAUUAUUAAAGGCUCAAGGCGCACUA
RNAcentral lists this unclassified non-coding RNA (306 nucleotides) under Hevea brasiliensis (rubber tree). The record is from RNAcentral. Lineage: Eukaryota; Viridiplantae; Streptophyta; Magnoliopsida; Malpighiales; Euphorbiaceae.